Molecule: non-coding RNA, 29 nt
Filed under: Mus musculus (house mouse)
Lineage: Eukaryota; Metazoa; Chordata; Mammalia; Rodentia; Muridae
Source: RNAcentral
GAGAUUUCUAAGCGAAGGGCCACCAGAUA